This 1613-nucleotide ribosomal RNA is filed under the name Escherichia coli. RNAcentral describes it as "partial 23S ribosomal RNA". It matches the Rfam family "Bacterial large subunit ribosomal RNA", at positions 1250 to 2843 of the family's 2925-position model. The record is from RNAcentral. Lineage: Bacteria; Pseudomonadati; Pseudomonadota; Gammaproteobacteria; Enterobacterales; Enterobacteriaceae.
GUGAAGGUGUGCUGUGAGGCAUGCUGGAGGUAUCAGAAGUGCGAAUGCUGACAUAAGUAACGAUAAAGCGGGUGAAAAGCCCGCUCGCCGGAAGACCAAGGGUUCCUGUCCAACGUUAAUCGGGGCAGGGUGAGUCGACCCCUAAGGCGAGGCCGAAAGGCGUAGUCGAUGGGAAACAGGUUAAUAUUCCUGUACUUGGUGUUACUGCGAAGGGGGGACGGAGAAGGCUAUGUUGGCCGGGCGACGGUUGUCCCGGUUUAAGCGUGUAGGCUGGUUUUCCAGGCAAAUCCGGAAAACUAAGGCUGAGGCGUGAUGACGAGGCACUACGGUGCUGAAGCAACAAAUGCCCUGCUUCCAGGAAAAGCCUCUAAGCAUCAGGUAACAUCAAAUCGUACCCCAAACCGACACAGGUGGUCAGGUAGAGAAUACCAAGGCGCUUGAGAGAACUCGGGUGAAGGAACUAGGCAAAAUGGUGCCGUAACUUCGGGAGAAGGCACGCUGAUAUGUAGGUGAAGUCCCUCGCGGAUGGAGCUGAAAUCAGUCGAAGAUACCAGCUGGCUGCAACUGUUUAUUAAAAACACAGCACUGUGCAAACACGAAAGUGGACGUAUACGGUGUGACGCCUGCCCGGUGCCGGAAGGUUAAUUGAUGGGGUCAGCGCAAGCGAAGCUCUUGAUCGAAGCCCCGGUAAACGGCGGCCGUAACUAUAACGGUCCUAAGGUAGCGAAAUUCCUUGUCGGGUAAGUUCCGACCUGCACGAAUGGCGUAAUGAUGGCCAGGCUGUCUCCACCCGAGACUCAGUGAAAUUGAACUCGCUGUGAAGAUGCAGUGUACCCGCGGCAAGACGGAAAGACCCCGUGAACCUUUACUAUAGCUUGACACUGAACAUUGAGCCUUGAUGUGUAGGAUAGGUGGGAGGCUUUGAAGUGUGGACGCCAGUCUGCAUGGAGCCGACCUUGAAAUACCACCCUUUAAUGUUUGAUGUUCUAACGUUGACCCGUAAUCCGGGUUGCGGACAGUGUCUGGUGGGUAGUUUGACUGGGGCGGUCUCCUCCUAAAGAGUAACGGAGGAGCACGAAGGUUGGCUAAUCCUGGUCGGACAUCAGGAGGUUAGUGCAAUGGCAUAAGCCAGCUUGACUGCGAGCGUGACGGCGCGAGCAGGUGCGAAAGCAGGUCAUAGUGAUCCGGUGGUUCUGAAUGGAAGGGCCAUCGCUCAACGGAUAAAAGGUACUCCGGGGAUAACAGGCUGAUACCGCCCAAGAGUUCAUAUCGACGGCGGUGUUUGGCACCUCGAUGUCGGCUCAUCACAUCCUGGGGCUGAAGUAGGUCCCAAGGGUAUGGCUGUUCGCCAUUUAAAGUGGUACGCGAGCUGGGUUUAGAACGUCGUGAGACAGUUCGGUCCCUAUCUGCCGUGGGCGCUGGAGAACUGAGGGGGGCUGCUCCUAGUACGAGAGGACCGGAGUGGACGCAUCACUGGUGUUCGGGUUGUCAUGCCAAUGGCACUGCCCGGUAGCUAAAUGCGGAAGAGAUAAGUGCUGAAAGCAUCUAAGCACGAAACUUGCCCCGAGAUGAGUUCUCCCUGACUCCUUGAGAGUCCUGAAGGAACGUUGAAG